RNAcentral lists this unclassified non-coding RNA (418 nucleotides) under soil metagenome. RNAcentral's name for it is "partial contains 5.8S ribosomal RNA, internal transcribed spacer 2, and large subunit ribosomal RNA". The stretch from base 1 to 120 matches the Rfam family "5.8S ribosomal RNA", at positions 35 to 154 of the family's 154-position model. The record is from RNAcentral.
GAUGAAGAACGUAGCGAAAUGCGAUAAGUAAUGUGAAUUGCAGAAUUCAGUGAAUCAUCGAAUCUUUGAACGCAUCUUGCGCUCCUUGGUAUUCCUUGGAGCAUACCUGUUUGAGUAUCAUGAGCAAAUCUCAAAGUCAAUUCCUUUUGUUGAUUCAAUUGGUUUUGCUUUGGACUUGGAGGCCUUGCAGAUUUCACAGUCUGCUCCUCUUAAAUGCAUUAGCUGGAUCUCAGUAAUUAUGCUUGGUUCCACUCGGCGUGAUAAGUAUCACUCGCUGAGGACACUGUUAAAAAGGUGGCCAGGAAAAUACUGAUUGAACCGCUUCUAACGGUCUAUUAAGUUAGACAAUUACCCUUAAGUUUGAUCUCAAAUCAGGUAGGACUACCCGCUGAACUUAAGCAUAUCAAUAAGCGGAGGA